GACGAACGCUGGCGGCGUGCUUAACACAUGCAAGUCGAACGGUGACGAUCAAGCUUGCUUGGUCUGAUCAGUGGCUAACGGGUGAGUAACACGUGAGUAACCUGCCCCUGACUCUGGGAUAACCCCGGGAAACCGGAGCUAAUACCGGAUACGACACCAGCCCGCAUGGGCAUGGUGUGGAAAGUUUUUCGGUCUGGGAUGGACUCGCGGCCUAUCAGCUUGUUGGUGAGGUAGAGGCUCACCAAGGCGACGGCGGGUAGCCGGCCUGAGAGGGCGACCGGCCACACUGGGACUGAGACACGGCCCAGACUCCUACGGGAGGCAGCA
This 327-nucleotide ribosomal RNA is filed under the name uncultured Intrasporangiaceae bacterium. RNAcentral describes it as "bacterial SSU rRNA". It matches the Rfam family "Bacterial small subunit ribosomal RNA", at positions 28 to 353 of the family's 1533-position model. The record is from RNAcentral. Lineage: Bacteria; Bacillati; Actinomycetota; Actinomycetes; Micrococcales; Intrasporangiaceae.